ACAAAAAAUUGAUGAAAAAGUGAUGAACAAAUUUUUUGCAAAUAAAAUAAGAAAUGUCAUUUUUUCUUUGAAUCCUUUAUUUAAAUUAUUUUAUUAAAUAACUCUCUUCUUUAAAAAUCUUAUAUUAAGUUUUUCACGUGAAGUUUCAGUGGUAAAUUUUUUAUUUUUAUUUCAAGUCAUCCAUUUAAUCUUAAGAACCCUUCACUCGCCUAAAAACGUAUACAUUCAUAAUCAUUACUCUGCCGUUUAUAAGAUCUGAGCAUUAGUCACACUCGAUGUUACAAAAUAUUUUUGUUUUUGAAAUACUUGAAAAAAUGAAUAGCUAUUAAUUUAACGUAUAUUAAUUAUUUAAUUGAAUUAAUUCGAAAUAAUUAGAAAUAUUUAUAAUAAAGUUCUACGUGUACUUUAUACAAUUUUUUAUUUAUGAUAUAAAAUAAAAUUAUUUCAGUUUUUAUGAAUUUUUCAAUGAAUGGCUAUUUUACACAGAGAUGGAUAGCUAUUGAUGGAAGUCAAUAGUUUAGAAUUUCAACAGAUGGAAAUUAGCCAUACAGUUCAAACUUUACAGUUCGCAGAGUUAUAAUUACGUAAAACAUCUUUUAAAUUAUCUUGAAAAUUAUCUUCAAACUUAUUUUAUUUUAUAAUAUUAUUUUAUAAGUUCUAUUGUAAUGUUAAUAACAUUGAUUAUAUUAAGCUGAUUUAAAAUUUAUGUUCUUUUCAACAUUUGUAUAUUUUCCAUAAAAAUUUAUAUAAAAAAUUGUGAAUUGCAUAAUUCUGAUAAUUCAUGUUUUUUGUUUCGAUUUUCGAAAAGAUUAAUAUUCUAUCUAGUUUCAUCCAUCUAUUGGCAUAAUUAUUAAGUAAUUCAUUGAAUCUUGAUCCAGUGAUCUUGAACGAUCAAAGAUCAAUGAUUUAUAUGAUCGAAUUGGAUGAAACUAUAACCAGAUAUGGUUUCCUGUCCAUAUAAGUCCAUAUAAUGGAAAAUAUUAUUUGUUUGAAUUAUUUGUUUGAACAGAAUUUUUUUUCUGUGCCGCUUUUUAUAUAAUUGUAAUUGGAAGAUUUCUAAGAACAGGAAGAUCUUUCUUUUUCCCUUUACGAACUUGAUAUAUUACCAUCUCUUACUUUUUCUUCUUUAAAAUGAAGUUGUGUAUUCUCUUUUACUGGAUGAUAUUUUUCUUUAAUUCAGUUGAUUUUAAUUCAGUUGAAAUCUACAGUGAAUACUAUUUGAAUUGAUAUUUUUAUAUAUCUAGCUAAGAUUUUAUUUUUUUUUUGUGCAUAUUAUAUAACUGAUGAAUAUUAAUCCAUAUUGCUGAUUUUAAUUUUCUAAAAGUAAUUGUUUCUUUUUGUUUGUUUAAUAAAUCAAAAUAAUAAAGAUACAAAUCUAUUCGUAACAAAAGUGUCAAAUUUUGCUUCAAUAUUUGUUACAUUCCAUUGAUUUUUACUUUCGCAUUUUUGUACAUAUUAUUUUAAUUUAAUUAUAUUUCAAUUCCAUUUAAUAAACAAUAAUAAUUCAUCUAUCUAGUACAAGAUUUUAGAUUUUUUUUACAUAUAAUUUUUCAAUAUUUUAUUUUUACGUGUAUCAUUUCAAUUUUUUCAACAUCCAAUUCCCAACCCAAAUUAUAUUUUAAUUCCAUUCAACGAACACUCCAGAUCGACCUAUUCAUCGCGUACAAAAUUUCACAAUCUUUUUCCACGCAUGGUCAGGGGGAGGAGAGGUGUGUUCGAUAAUUCCAUUUCGCUGGAUCGUUGCUCGUAGAGAUCGAGAUCAUCGCUGAAACUGACAGCCCGUUCUCAAAUAACCCCCGUACACGGUAAUCGAGCGAACCUUCCCAUGAUUCGUAUUUUUAAAAUUCCAAUUUCGCGAUCGGGCCGAUGGUUCAGCGAAAAAUGGAAACGGUAGCUGCGCUUUCACGUCUCCGCGUAACCGGAAAUCCACCGCCAACACUAUUGACGAACUCGAAGAAACGCCGAGUUUCCUGAAUAGGCGCUUUUGAUAAAGGUGUAUCGAAGCGCCCUCUAUGUAAAAUUCAUGCUAUGCAAAGAAUCGGAUAUGUGUUAUUGUUCGGGUGGUUUUUGAUCUCUGAAGAACAAUGAAUAAAACAAGAUGUUCCGUGGAUUGAUACUGCUUUUAUAACGAUUGCAUUGCAUGUCUUUAACGAAAUUAUGAUUUGAUAUGUAUUUUUGAAUACAUCGAAGAAUCUAGAAUUCGGUUUAGAAUCGAUCUUCCAAGAUGUCCCACGAAUAUAUUAACACUUUGUACAUUGGUUUUGAGUAACUGUGCGCUACAACGCGAUGUAUUAUUCAAAAGGCGAACCUACGAUAAUAAAAGCAAAACGCGCAGUUAGUUUUUAAUGCCAUUGUGGAAACGCAGUCGACGAUAUUUCCUUCAUCGCGAAGAAAAUAUUUGCUGAAAAUUUCAUUCCCUUUACUAUAACCUUUAUACUAUCUUCUUGCGAAAAAGUCUUCGCUUAUAUUUCAUUUUAUUUUCUUUUUUCAGAAUUUUGAUCAAAAAGCUGGAAAAUCAUAGAGAACAAAACAUUUAAUUUCUUCAAGAAACUUGUAACGUCGUUGAUCUCCGACACGAUGGAUGUUGCGGAUUUGGAAAGCAUAGAAUUUUUGUGCUGAAAGAAAUUAGAUAAAUUGAAAGAUAAGGACAUAGAAAAUAAUUUUAAAUGAAAUAAGUUAUUUUGAUGUAAUUUAUUAUAAAUUAAUUUUAUAAAAGUUUGACGUCUUAAUUAAAAUGUUUAUUUCUGUAUUUUAUUUUUUAUAAUAUUAUAUUGUUUUAUUUAAUUUGUAUUAUAUAUAAAUAUAUAUAUAAUUACAUUAUUGUAAUUUGUAAUUUUUUAUAAUAAUUUGUAAAAUUGAAAGCUUUGUAAGAUUUAUAUUCAUUUUUUAUUCUACUAAAUUCCAUUUUAUUUCAUGAAUAUUUAUAAUAUAUGAAAUAUGCAUAUAUGUAUAUUUUCCUUUACGAUUUUAAAAUUUAUAAGAAAAUUUAUAAAUAUCCAAUUAAAAAUGUAUUAUUAUUAUAAGAAUUGACUUAAUUACAUAAAAUAAAAAGUAUUUUAUUUAAAA
Molecule: long non-coding RNA, 3066 nt
Organism: Apis cerana (Asiatic honeybee)
Lineage: Eukaryota; Metazoa; Arthropoda; Insecta; Hymenoptera; Apidae
Source: RefSeq, a predicted model, not a curated record